Molecule: long non-coding RNA, 906 nt
Organism: Zingiber officinale
Lineage: Eukaryota; Viridiplantae; Streptophyta; Magnoliopsida; Zingiberales; Zingiberaceae
Exons: 4
Source: RefSeq, a predicted model, not a curated record
CCUCGCCUAGGGUUACGGUUGCGCAAAAUCUAUAAGACGCCUCUUUGCUGUUCUUCCUCUAAUUUCUUCGCCGUCAAGUGGGAGAGAGACCGUGCUGCUGAUGGGCGAUUUCCAUAGGAAGCAGCUGCCGUAUUCCUUGUCUAGGGUUACGAUUUCAUGCCUCUUUGCUGUUCCUCAUCAUACUUCUCCAUGGCGCCGUCGCCGCCGACUCCACUAAGGUCCCUGAUCGCGGCUCGCCGUCUUCCAAUCUUUAUUGAUCUCUUCCAUACUCGAAUCAUGCUGCACUUCUUCCUCUAAUUUGUACGCCGACAAGUGAAAGAGGGUACCGCGCUGCUGAUGGGCGACGAAUCCUGCACCUAUUUCGAUAGGAAGCAGCUGCCACAUUCCUUGUCUAGGGUUACGAUUUCGCCUCAAAUCUGUAGGAUGCCUCUUUGCUGUUCCUCAUCAUACUUCUCCAUGGCACCGUCGCCGCCGCCGACUCCACUAAGGUCACUGAUCGCGGCUCGCCGUCUAGCAAUCCAUAUCGAUUUUCUCCAUACCUGAAUCAUGCUGCUCUUCUUCCUCUAAUUUCUACGCCGACAAGUGGAAGAUUGAACUGCGCUGCUUUUGGCCGAUGAAUCCUGCGUCUAUUUCGAUAGAUGUCGAGAUCGCCGGAGGCGAUCGGAGGUUUGUUGACGGCGCUUUUUGAGGCUGUGAAAUCGAGGCAAGCCGGAGAGAUGUUCUUCGAAGUGUCGAAGAUGUCGCCGUCUCCGGCGAUCUUAGUAAUUAAUUAAGAAAUAAAUUUUGAUUUUGCUUUGGGUCUCAAAUUAAAAUUUUAAUUAAUAUUAUUUUUUUGAAAAAUAUUCAAACAAGUAGGAUUGUCAUUUGUCAAUCAGUUGGAUCUAAUUUAAAUAUCUUACUCUUAAA